CUCUUACAGCUAAUCAGUGRAAUUGRUCCUCUCGUGCAAAAGCGAGARUACAAAUAUAAGACGAGAAGACCCUGUGGRACUUCAAAUAAACCAUCAAUUAACAUUAUACCCACCCCAAGGGCUCACAAAUCAUUUAAUACCUGAUGCAUAUUUUUGGUUGGGGCGACCUCGGAGUAAAACAAAACCUCCGAAAAAAAGAACAUAAUUCCAUACUUAGCCAAACAACUCAAAGUGCCCACAGCAAAAUGAUCCAAUCUAUUUGAUCAACGAACCAAGCUACCCCAGGGAUAACAGCGCAAUCCCGUCRCAGAGUUCUUAUCAACGACGGAGUUUACGACCUCGAUGUUGGAUCAGGACAUCCUAAUGGUGCAACAGCUAUUAAGGGUUCGUUUGUUCAACGAUURRRGUCCCACGUGAUCUGAGU
This 424-nucleotide ribosomal RNA is filed under the name Palea steindachneri (wattle-necked softshell turtle). RNAcentral describes it as "partial 16S ribosomal RNA". It matches the Rfam family "Bacterial large subunit ribosomal RNA", at positions 2020 to 2610 of the family's 2925-position model. The record is from RNAcentral. Lineage: Eukaryota; Metazoa; Chordata; Testudines; Trionychidae.